RNAcentral lists this unclassified non-coding RNA (1329 nucleotides) under Fusarium oxysporum f. sp. spinaciae. Its description in RNAcentral is "partial 28S-18S ribosomal RNA intergenic spacer". Lineage: Eukaryota; Fungi; Ascomycota; Sordariomycetes; Hypocreales; Nectriaceae. The record is from RNAcentral.
GGUAGGCAGCCUUAGAUUUGGUCGAUCUGGAGGUCGAUUCUCCGGCUGGCGGAUCUGACACUGUCGAAACGAGGUGCGAGCGGUGUAGGGUAGGCUAGUUUCGUCCUCGCCGGGUUGCGAUUUGGACGAGAUAUGUGGUCUAGGGUAGGCUCUAGGGUAAGUAGAAUUCGAGUUUCGUCGCCGACAGUUUUCUGUGGGUGUGUGGUAGGUACAGGGUAGGCAAAUCUCCCUCCGGCCAGUCCUUGUCUGGUGGUCGUGAGUCGAUUUUUUUGUUUUGCCAUACUAUUGAAUUUUGCGGAAAUUCAAAAGUGGCUCGGGAGUCCCGCCUGGCGUGCGUCCGGCUCGAACGUCGUCGGUGUACAUAUGAGAGGGAGUAAUCCGGCCCGGCCGGGGCCCAUCGCGAGCUGCCGGGUAGGUAAAAGUAAAAAAGUUGUUAAGAGGCGCGGUGUCGGCGUGCUUGUAUUUGCGGGAGAGAAUUAUCUGGAGGUGCUGGGUAGCCGGGAAGACUUGGACGGAUCUGGCCCGGGAAUGGGUCUGGGCCUGGAGUCUGGAGUGGUGUAGGGUAGGCGUAGAUAGAUGAGUGGUCUAGGGUAGAUACAGGGUAGCCAGAAGUCUAGUGUAUAGUAUGGGGGUGUAGGGUAGGUCUGGACACCGUUUUCCACUUCGCCCUUCCCUUUACUCGAGGGAGGACGAUCUUGGCUGGGACGGAGGUGUAGGGUAGGCUUAAUUAACGAUUACAUGAUCUGUGCCACUCUAGGGUAGGUGAAAAUCCCAUAUAUAUCUGAUCACAUUUGGUGAAGAGGUGGUUUGGCUGGUGAGAUGGACAAAAGUGCAUUGUAGAAUUAUAUGUGAUUUUGCAAAAGUGGGUGUGAAAUUGGGAAAUCGGGUUUCCCGCACAGAUAAGAGCACGUUUGAGGUGCCAUGAGAUGCACCUCUCCGAGACGACCUCAACGGUACCACCGAUGUGUUGGUCAGGCUCCUGUGCGGCCGUCCAGGGCGGGAUAAGUAGAGAGUGAGGUGGUGUAGGGUAGGUGGCCAGGUCCAAGGUAGGUUCGCCAAAUCCGUCAAUCCGGCUUGAAUCGAAGGUCAGGUCUAGGGUAGGCCGGAGUCGGGUCUAGGGUAGGCAACUCUCACCCUCGAAGUGGUCUACCCGGUAGCCAACUUCAAUCGCCUCUCACGGCCGCCACGGAUCUCGCAUGACGACGGGACUACCACCAUCGGAUUCGCCUUGGUCGAAAUAGCUGGUAUAUGCACUUUUGAAAAAAUGCGUGCAAAAUGGUUUUGUGAUUUGGUGGCCGUGAGUCGAUUUUUUUGUUUUCCCAUACCAAA